GCCGGGAGCCGAGUCACUAAAGGCCCCUCGUCAAGUAUUGCACCGUCAUCGUUGACGCCUUUAAGGAAGUUCGCCUGAACUCGUCAGUGCUUAACUACUCCAGAGGUCCUCUGUAUCGGGUUCACGCUCGAACCAUACCGAAAUGUAUUGGGAAUUGCGUUUUAUGCGGGACUACCUGCCAGGUACAUGCGGACAGACGCACUCAAAUCUCGAGUCACGUCCCGACCUACAGCGACCAUUUCACCUGGACCGGAAAGAGGCAUCUAUGAAUUGAUAAAGACUGCCAUAAUAAUCUAAGAAAAGAAGAAAAAAAUGAAAUAUUGAAGCAUCAUGCCGGGGAAGAAAUUUUCCCU
RNAcentral lists this long non-coding RNA (353 nucleotides) under Oryza brachyantha (malo sina). RNAcentral describes it as "long non-coding RNA (OBRA_LNC003555)". The record is from RNAcentral. Lineage: Eukaryota; Viridiplantae; Streptophyta; Magnoliopsida; Poales; Poaceae.